UGCUCCCCAGCCUUUCUAUGCUCCUGUUCUGCUUUGAUGAAAUAAAGCAGAACAGGAGCAUAGAAAGGCUGGGGAGCA
Gorilla gorilla gorilla (western lowland gorilla) is the source of this 78-nucleotide microRNA precursor. Ensembl annotates it as microRNA 4773-2. The record is from Ensembl. Lineage: Eukaryota; Metazoa; Chordata; Mammalia; Primates; Hominidae.